RNAcentral lists this long non-coding RNA (483 nucleotides) under Setaria italica (foxtail millet). RNAcentral's name for it is "long non-coding RNA (SITA_LNC004189)". Lineage: Eukaryota; Viridiplantae; Streptophyta; Magnoliopsida; Poales; Poaceae. The record is from RNAcentral.
CAGAAUGUUUUGCGAGGAACGCGGGCAGCUGCAGUACAGGAUACCGGAGAAAAGGAUCCUUGAGGAUGCAUAUAAAGUGAGUAGACACCAUGUGUACCCCCCUUGACAUUUUUGUUUGAUUGUGUCCUCUGGAAAGCAAGCUGCAGAUGAUGAAGAAGAAUAAAUAAGAUGGAGGCUGGUGUUCUUAGCAGAAUGUGAUACUAACUCUAACUCCACCUGGCUGUUUUUCCCCCUCAAAAAAAAAAAAUGACGCAGAAGCAUCACAGGUCGGAGGGCGAGCUGAAGAAGGAUGAGUUCGUGGAGAUCAGCAAGGAGGUGCUCAAGAUGGAGAGCUUCACCUUUGGGAAGGCGACGAUGGAAUUCGCCAUGUUCCUGUUCGGCGCCCCGGCGUGCGCGUUCCUGGCGAAGCGGAUCCUGCCUGGGCUGGGGUGGCUGUCGGACGACAUCGUCAUCCCUCUGGCCACCUCCGGUUCCGUCGCCUAC